This 492-nucleotide ribosomal RNA is filed under the name uncultured bacterium. RNAcentral's name for it is "partial 16S ribosomal RNA". It matches the Rfam family "Bacterial small subunit ribosomal RNA", at positions 29 to 507 of the family's 1533-position model. The record is from RNAcentral.
AGUGAACGCUGGCGGCAGGCCUAAUACAUGCAAGUCGAACGGCAGCACUGUAAGAGCUUGCCCUUACGGGUGGCGAGUGGCGGACGGGUGAGGAAUACAUCGGCAUCUACUUUUUCGUGGGGGAUAACGUAGGGAAACUUCCGCUACUACAGCAUACGUCCUACGGGUGAAAUCAGGGGAUCAUCGGACCUUGCGCGAUUGAAUGAGCCGAUGUCGGAUUAGCUAGUUGGUGGGGUAAAGGCCCACCAAGGCGACGAUCCGUAGCUGGUCUGGGAGGAUGAUCAGCCACACUGGAACUGGAACACGGUCCAAACUCCUACGGGGGGCAGCGGUGGGGAAUAUUGGACAAUGGGCGCAAGCCUGAUCCAGCCAUACCGCGUGGGUGAAGAAGGCCUUCGGGUUGUAAAGCCCUUUUGUUGGGAAAGAAAAGCAGGAGAGUAAAACCCCGCUGUUCUGACGGUACCCAAAGAAUAAGCACCGGCUAACUUCGUG